RNAcentral lists this non-coding RNA (28 nucleotides) under Mus musculus (house mouse). The record is from RNAcentral. Lineage: Eukaryota; Metazoa; Chordata; Mammalia; Rodentia; Muridae.
UAGAGUUGCCAAUAUUUUUCAGCAGAUA